RNAcentral lists this ribosomal RNA (244 nucleotides) under Geodermatophilus siccatus. Its description in RNAcentral is "23S rRNA. Bacterial LSU". It matches the Rfam family "Bacterial large subunit ribosomal RNA", at positions 2684 to 2925 of the family's 2925-position model. Lineage: Bacteria; Bacillati; Actinomycetota; Actinomycetes; Geodermatophilales; Geodermatophilaceae. The record is from RNAcentral.
CGAGAGGACCGGGACGGACGAACCUCUGGUGUGCCAGUUGUACCGCCAGGUGCACGGCUGGUUGGCUACGUUCGGCAGGGAUAACCGCUGAAAGCAUCUAAGCGGGAAGCUCGCUUCAAGAUGAGGUCUCUCACCGGGUGUAACCGGGUAAGGCCCCCGCCCAGACCAGCGGGUUGAUAGGCCGGAGGUGGAAGCACCGCGAGGUGUGGAGCUGACCGGUACUAACAGGCCGAGGGCUUGACCA